AGCAUGUCGCGGUGAAUACGUUCCCGGGUCUUGUACACACCGCCCGUCACACCAUGAGAGUUGGAGAUACCCGAAGCCUGUGAGCCAACUAUAUAGAGGCAGCAGUCGAAGGUAGAAUCAAUGAUUGGGGUGAAGUCGUAACAAGGUAUC
Molecule: ribosomal RNA, 150 nt
Filed under: uncultured bacterium
Lineage: Bacteria
Description: partial 16S ribosomal RNA
Rfam family: Bacterial small subunit ribosomal RNA
Source: RNAcentral